GUAGUUGAAUUAUGAUAUUUCUGAAGUGUAGGAGUAAUUGACAUAAUUUUCGACGCAUUUUGAUAUCAUUUAUGCAAUAUUGUGGUUUUUUAUGGCUUCGAGAACCUUAUUUUGGACUUAUGUGGAUAUCUUUUGAUUCGUCCAAUGGAUGGCCGAACGGACUGCUCUAGUAGCUCCGUAGCAUCUAUUUUAGGCGGGGUAGACCUUUGGUUCGAGUUUCGGUGCACCCAAGCUCAUUUUGACCUAUUGGUCAGAAAGUUGAAAAAUUAGAAAUAUAGGUGUGGUACCCACAUUUGAUUGAAACGACCUCGGAUGGAAAAUUCGACUUCUCCAGUAGAUCCAAAAUAUUGGAUUUAGAGUGUUAGCAUAUUUGGUAUGAUUUUAUGGCUUUAAAAUUUUAUUUCGGCCCUCGGUUUGGAAAAUUAUAAUUUAGGAAUUAGGGAGUCAACUUUGUGGAAACAAUAUUUUUUUGAAAAUAUGAUAUCGCCAACGCGUCCAGAACAUCGAAUUUAUUAUGGUUACAUAGUUCAUUUGCAUAUAUCGGACUCCGAACGAAUUUUGAGCAUCCCAUCAAGUCCGUUUGAACUUGGAAAAAAACUGCUAACAUUCCAGAUUUUCUGCUAUAUAUAGGAGAUUUCACCCUAAUUUUGAUUCAGUUUGCUCAUUUUUCAUCUUGCCUCUUGAGAGUUAAACCCUAAAAUAGUAUGGGAGUUAAAAGUAAAGUUUGUGAGAACUUGGGAAGUUAGAUUAGCAUCUAUUUAUUGGUUUUAUUACGAAUUUAAGGUAAACAUUCACCCCUUUUCUUAAAAAUUUCUUGAUAAAUUCCUCAAAACGCUAAAAAUCUUAAGGCACGAUUUUAAACCAAAAUUUCACUUUUUUCACUUGAAUAAUAUUUUUAUCUUAUAAUUACUAUUUUUUCAUCAAUUUAACCUUCAAAACAAAUUCGAUUCUUGAUUUUAACCCGAAUUUUUAAGAUUUUACCUGCUAAAGCUCAAAAAUAGUUUUUCUUCAAUUUGAACCCCGUUUUUUACUCGAUUUAACUUGGGUUUUCAGCUAUAGGUUUCUAAAAAUAUGGGGAACAUGUUUUUGAAGUAAAUUUUCAAUUUUACCCUUCUUUUUUGAAAACCCAUUUUGGAGGUCCGUUUUGAUCCCGAACCAAAAGAAGUCAAUAUGGGUGUCGUUGGUUUUGUCUUGACACGUAGAUUUCAUAUUUGAUAUUUUUAGUGGGGUUUGAGAUUGUUCAUGAAAAGUAAAGGCCGCGGGUUCAAGUGUAGCGGAUCGAUUUCGGCUUUUGAAGUAGGUUAUGGCUUAACUCUUUUAGACUGGGCUGGAUAGUAAAUAAUGAUACAAAAUACAUGUUAAGGGUGAAAACUAGUCAUGAGAAAUGACUAUUUAUGUUUUGUGACCAUGUGGGGGCCUAUAUGUGAUGUAAUCGCCAAAAUUUAGUUAUUAUGUGAUAUGUGUGACCGUGUAGGGUCCUAUGUUAUAUUAAUAGCCUUGAAUACAUGUGAAUAAUUAUAUUGUGCUGUUAAAAUACUUAAUGGGGUAACAUUGGUGUAUUGUGAUUAUAUUCAUACCUUAUUGACAUAUAAGACAUGUGGAAAUUCAUGGAUAAAACGAAAAUAAUGAAUGGAUAUUAGCUUAUGUGGUUGUGGAAAUGUAUUAUUGUGGUUAGUUGUGAAAAUAUAUCAUGUGGUUGGUUGUGAAAAUACUCAUUG
This 1718-nucleotide long non-coding RNA is filed under the name Capsicum annuum. RNAcentral describes it as "long non-coding RNA (CANN_LNC022544)". Lineage: Eukaryota; Viridiplantae; Streptophyta; Magnoliopsida; Solanales; Solanaceae. The record is from RNAcentral.